CAACAAAUUCAUACUUAUUUGCUUGUUCUUGACAAGGAACACAUUUAGCAAAACAAAGAUCUAAAAUGUAUAAUUUAUACCCAGUCAUCACAUGUAUUUUUCAGGAACCAGCCUUCUGGCAAGAAGGAAAGAUACAUGAUUCUUCCCAGACACUCCACCAGGAAUUACUCAUGAGUCAGAAUUUGGCUAACGUCCGCUGACAUUUCCUUGACACGUUUGUUCUCCACCCUUACAAUCACAGGCCAUUAUUUUAGAGAUUGAGAACCAUUCCUAACUCAUAACUAGUUAUCAUAACUAGUCCCUUG
RNAcentral lists this long non-coding RNA (305 nucleotides) under Bos taurus (domestic cattle). RNAcentral describes it as "long non-coding RNA NONBTAT008309". Lineage: Eukaryota; Metazoa; Chordata; Mammalia; Artiodactyla; Bovidae. The record is from RNAcentral.